CCUACGGGUGGCAGCAGUGGGGAAUAUUGCACAAUGGGGGAAACCCUGAUGCAGCAACGCCGCGUGAGUGAAGAAGUAUCUAGGUAUGUAAAGCUCUAUCAGCAGGGAAGUAAAUGACAGUACCUGACUAAGAAGCCCCGGCUAACUACGUGCCAGCAGCCGCGGUAAUACGUAGGGGGCAAGCGUUAUCCGGAUUUACUGGGUGUAAAGGGAGCGUAGACGGCUGCGUAAGUCAGAAGUGAAAGCCUGGGGCUCAACCGCAGGAUUGCAUUUGAAACUGUGUAGCUAGAGUGCAGUAGAGGUAAGUGGAAUUCGUGGUGUAGCGGUGAAAUGCGUAGAUAUUAGGAGGAACACCGGUUGCGAAGGCGGCUUACUGAACUGUAACUGACGUUGAGGCUCGAAAGCGUGGGUAUCAAACAGGAUUAGAUACCCCGGUAGUC
This 440-nucleotide ribosomal RNA is filed under the name uncultured bacterium. RNAcentral describes it as "partial 16S ribosomal RNA". It matches the Rfam family "Bacterial small subunit ribosomal RNA", at positions 338 to 795 of the family's 1533-position model. The record is from RNAcentral.